RNAcentral lists this long non-coding RNA (2045 nucleotides) under Triticum aestivum (bread wheat). RNAcentral describes it as "long non-coding RNA (TAES_LNC020354)". The record is from RNAcentral. Lineage: Eukaryota; Viridiplantae; Streptophyta; Magnoliopsida; Poales; Poaceae.
UGGUUGCUCUGGCAAGGAGGGGUCGUCAUCGAUGUAGUCAAUCACAAGGGUACCAACAGCAGUCUCGGGGUCUACCGGAAAGAAGUUAUGGAGGGGAACACAAUAAAUAACAGAGCAAUCAAAGCAUCACAAAGCAUAACAUGGCAAUACUGGUGCUAGUGGUGACCUAACGCAGUACUAAGUGAUACCGGCAAACGGGGGAAACAUCCAGGAAAGGAUUCCCGGUGUUUCGCGUUUUCGGACAGAUGGACCGGAGGUGGAUUGUUGCAUGUUUGCUAUGCUAGGGACGUAUGGCGGACGAACGGAAUGCGUAUUCGGAUUCGUCUCGUCGUUCUGAGCAACUUUCAUAUAUAAAUUAUUUUCAUCCGAGUUACGGUUUAUUUUAUAUGAUUUUUCAAAGCAUUAAAUAUUUUUUGGAUUUAUUUCAAUUAAAUUAAUUCGAAAGAUAUAUAACAGACUUCGGCUGGGUGCACCCGGUGCAGUGCACCCAGCAGUGCACAGAGGCUGACCAGGGGGCCCCGUUGACUGCCCAGUCAGCAGUCAACGUUGAUCCGUUGACUGGUCAACAGGGCCCAGGGGGUCCCACACGUCAUUGUAUGCUUAAUCAAUUAAUAGUUAAUUAGCUAACUAAUCAGACUAAUUAGGUUAGGUUAAUUAACAUGAUUAAUUAAAUUAGUUAAUUGUUAAUUAAUUAAUUAAGUUAUUUUAAUUAUUAUUUUUAAAAUCUUUUUUUACAAAAAAGAGGGUGGGGGCCCCACUGGGCAGUGGCCCAAAGGCCUUGCGGGGCAGGCGUAACGGGCGCGGGCGAGGGAGUGAGCGCCCGUGCUUAAGGGGUGCGGCCGGGGCAUAGCCCGCCCGGGAGCGGGGCGAGGCCACCGGCGACGGGGCAGCCCGCUAGGCGGGGCAGUGGGGAGGCGACGGUGGGCGGCGCGUGUGGGGAGGCCACGCGGCCGUGUGGAGGCGGGGCAUGGCGGGAACGACGGCGGUGGCAGCGCCCGCAGCGGAGCGUGGCCGGGUGAGCGAGAGCAGCGACGGACGCGGCGCGCGCUAGGCAGCGACAAGAGCCAGAAGCACGGGGCGGGCGCCGGCACGGGGAUGGGCACGACCAGUCCGGGCGGAGCGGUCGCAAAAGCGGCGGCGCGCGCGCCAGUGAGACGGGUCGCGGGCAGGGCCAGGGAGUGGAGCGGUCACGGGCAAGCGAGCUCGACGAGCGCGCACAGCAGGUAGCGAGAAGCUGCGGGGCGAGGUGAAGGCGGCGAUGCAGCCGGGAGAGGCGCUGCCGGCAGCGGUCGGAGGAGCCGCCAGAGGCGUGCUCGUGCGACGACGCGCUAAUGGACGGCGGUGGGGCGGUCGAUGGGUGACGGCGAGAUGCGCAAGCAUGUGGCGCGCGAGUAGCGACGGGCAACACGGGGCGGGGAGGAGGAGCAGCCGCGAUGCGGUGCGCGGCAGUAGGUGCCUGCGGAGGCGGCCUAUGGCGCACUAGCAGCAGCAACAGCUGAGCAACAGAGAAGUAGCAGAAGUAGAGCAAGCAGCGGCAGGGGAAGCAGCAGCAUGCGGUAAGGGCGAUGCGAUUGGGCGCGGCCCGAGCAAAGUGGGGGCGCAGCCGCGGUGUGGUGUAGGCGCGGCCCGGACACGGCCAGGGGCUGAGGGGAGCACAGACAACGACGCGGUGAGCAGGAGCUCCGACGGCAUCGGACACGACGGUGACGGUGGCCUACGGUGGUGGUUCAAUGGUAAAAAUAGGGGAAUGGGAGGAGAAGCUCACUCCGAGCCUGUAGAGGUGCUAAGUGGGCUCGGGGAGGGCUCCACGGCGUCGGAGUCGAAGACGAACGGUGACGUUCCGAGUUGAAGACGAGCGUGUUCCGGUCGGAGGAGAGGCGCUCGGCUCGACCCCGAUUGCGUAAGCGAUGUGGACGACGACGAGGAAGCCGGUGGGCACGUCGAGGAGGCGAACGGGGCUCGGUGACCGCGGGAUCGACAGAGACCAUGGCGGCAAGGGCGUUCGGCUGUGUGUGGGAAGGAGGAUCUGGGGCGAGAGGGGGAGA